UACGGAGGGGGCGAGCGUUAUUCGGAAUUAUUGGGCGUAAAGGGCGCGUAGGCGGCUGAACAAGUCAAAGGUGAAAUCCCUCGGCUCAACUGAGGAACUGCCUUUGAAACUGUACGGCUUGAGGCCGGGAGGGGGUAGCGGAAUUCCCAGUGUAGCGGUGAAAUGCGUAGAUAUUGGGAGGAACACCAGCGGCGAAGGCGGCUACCUGGGCUUCUUCUGACACUGAGGUACGAAAGCGUGGGGAGCGAACAGG
This 253-nucleotide ribosomal RNA is filed under the name uncultured bacterium. RNAcentral's name for it is "partial 16S ribosomal RNA". It matches the Rfam family "Bacterial small subunit ribosomal RNA", at positions 524 to 776 of the family's 1533-position model. The record is from RNAcentral.